Mytilus trossulus (common blue mussel) is the source of this 365-nucleotide long non-coding RNA. RefSeq lists it as uncharacterized. NCBI's taxonomy places the organism in Eukaryota, Metazoa, Mollusca, Bivalvia, Mytilida, Mytilidae. The record is from RefSeq and is a predicted model, not a curated record. The transcript is spliced from 3 exons.
GCUUAUGACAUAUUAGAAAAGUUUGCAGAAGAAACAGUAGUUGUUUACAAAGAUGUCAGCCCUCCUCGCAUUGAAAACUUAUGGUUAUCACGUGGGGAUAACGUAAAUAUAUCUGUUCACAGUAUAGAGGAUUUUUCUAAAAUGACCAUUGAAUGGGAGGCGUUUGAUUUCGACAGUGGAUUAAAUCAGGUUGAAUGGCGACUAUUUGAUAAUUACACUUCCAAUUCCAUUCUUCACGGAAAGGCUGAACUACAUGCUCAAGGCAUGGCACAGAAUCUCACAAUAUGUGAAAGUAAAUACGAAAACGAACCAAGAGGCUCAUCAUGUUACUGUACUAUGUUUCAUGGUUGCUACCAUAAACAUUU